UUCAUCUGAAAAACUCUGCCUUGCUUGGAAGGUUUCUUACCGUAGCGAUCGCUAUGGAAAAUAUCUCACUUCUCCGUUCUCUCCGGCCGGCGGCAACGCAGUCGUGGUGUGUGUUUUGCAGUUCAAUAGGAGAGGAGGUAUGGCCAGAAUCGGAUGCUGUGUCUUUUGGUUAAGCGAAUUUAAAAGCCUUGUGGAAUGUGUGGUUUGAAAACUUGUAACUUUGUAAGGAUAAAGCUAAGUCUUAGGAGAUCCUAAUUUUGCCUCUGGAAUUGAGGCUGGUUCCGUCAAAGCCAAAAAAAAAAAUGGGGAAACAGUUGUGUGUGUUUUCAGGAAAAGGACUCACAAUGUUGGCAGAGGCAAUCUCUUCUCUACAAGAGCCACAAGUGUUGAUUGAUGAGUGUAGGGGGUAGUUUUGUAGCGCUAUCCGCCAGUUGAAGCAGUAUCUGUCUCAUUCCCGAAAGAGGCAAAUCCGAAAACGAAUGCUUAAUAGAUGGUGAUUUAAAAGAAGGCAAGGAAGGCUUCGAGGAACAAUAGACAGUUAAAUCGGGCACCACCUGGAAGAUUCUUGCUAUUGAACUACGUUGGCGGAGCUACCAACACGGGGAUCUUAUCAGAGUCAGAAUGUGAGUUAGUGGAAGCAGGGGAGAAGAUGCUGAUACUGCCAAAUUCUACUGAUCCAGUUGUACUUGGAGUAAGAGUGUGGCCUCAAGCCAUUCCUCUGUUUCUGAUAGACUAACAUUGAUUUGGUAGACGUACGCAGAGAAAGCGUUUCUUUCAUCAUUGGGUCAUGAUGCGAUGUUCUUGGGUGGCAAUUAUGUUGCUGGUGUAGCAUUGGGAUGGUGUGUGGAAGCGCUUGCAAGUUGCAACCCAAUUCAACAAUUUCCUGUCGAGGUAAGCUUACAAGUAACAAAAAUAGAAUAAAAACCAAAUAGAGAUACUUAGAUUGCUCUUUUGACUUUGACAACAGUUUAAGCUUGUAAAGUUUUCAUUGAUCUUUCUCAUAAGUAUUACUACAAUUUGUGGCCAAAAGGGGGGAGGAGAAAAAUACAAAAAGCAUGAGAGAGAGAGAGAGAGAGAGAGAGAGAGAGAGAGAUGAGUUAAGGAAGUCUAGAACAAAUCGAUCAUAACUCUUGAAUCUUGAGGAUCUUCGUGAAGAGGUGAGAUCUUGACACUGUCGAGUCUUGUGGCUCUUGGAGAUUUCUGCUCAUGUGUGUAAUACGUAGAGG
Camelina sativa (false flax) is the source of this 1226-nucleotide non-coding RNA. The record is from RefSeq and is a predicted model, not a curated record. Lineage: Eukaryota; Viridiplantae; Streptophyta; Magnoliopsida; Brassicales; Brassicaceae.